RNAcentral lists this transfer RNA (88 nucleotides) under Sulfuricurvum sp. RNAcentral describes it as "tRNA-Ser". It matches the Rfam family "tRNA". From Rfam's summary of the family: Transfer RNA (tRNA) molecules are approximately 80 nucleotides in length. Their secondary structure includes four short double-helical elements and three loops (D, anti-codon, and T loops). Further hydrogen bonds mediate the characteristic L-shaped molecular structure. tRNAs have two regions of fundamental functional importance: the anti-codon, which is responsible for specific mRNA codon recognition, and the 3' end, to which the tRNAs corresponding amino acid is attached (by aminoacyl-tRNA synthetases). tRNAs cope with the degeneracy of the genetic code in two manners: having more than one tRNA (with a specific anti-codon) for a particular amino acid; and 'wobble' base-pairing, i.e. permitting non-standard base-pairing at the 3rd anti-codon position. Lineage: Bacteria; Pseudomonadati; Campylobacterota; Epsilonproteobacteria; Campylobacterales; Sulfurimonadaceae. The record is from RNAcentral.
GGGUCGAUGGCAGAGCGGUUGAAUGCACCGGUCUUGAAAACCGGCGAGGGUAAGACCUCCCUGAGUUCGAAUCUCAGUCGGCCCGCCA